GCCCCUGUAGCUCAGUGGUCAGAGCGGCUGCCUUCUAAGCAGCGGGUCGCAGGUUCGAGUCCUGCCGGGGGCGCAA
RNAcentral lists this transfer RNA (76 nucleotides) under uncultured Acidimicrobiales bacterium. RNAcentral describes it as "tRNA-Arg-TCT". It matches the Rfam family "tRNA". From Rfam's summary of the family: Transfer RNA (tRNA) molecules are approximately 80 nucleotides in length. The record is from RNAcentral. Lineage: Bacteria; Bacillati; Actinomycetota; Acidimicrobiia; Acidimicrobiales.